RNAcentral lists this ribosomal RNA (1224 nucleotides) under metagenome. RNAcentral describes it as "bacterial SSU rRNA". It matches the Rfam family "Bacterial small subunit ribosomal RNA", at positions 297 to 1520 of the family's 1533-position model. The record is from RNAcentral.
AGGGUGGACGGCCACAUUGGGACUGAGAUACGGCCCAGACUCCUACGGGAGGCAGCAGUAGGGAAUUUUGCGCAAUGGACGAAAGUCUGACGCAGCAACGCCGCGUGAGGGAUGACUGCCUUCGGGUUGUAAACCUCUGUUGGAUGGGAAAAAACGGUAGCAAUACCUUGAUGGUACCAUUCGAGUAAGCACCGGCUAACUACGUGCCAGCAGCCGCGGUAAUACGUAGGGUGCAAGCGUUGUUCGGAAUUACUGGGCGUAAAGGGAGCGUAGGCGGGAUCGUAAGUUAGGAGUUUAAUGCAUGGGCUUAACCCAUGACCUGCUCUUAAUACUGCGGUUCUUGAGUAUGGGAGAGGGCGAUGGAAUUCCAGGUGUAGCGGUGGAAUGCGUAGAUAUCUGGAAGAACACCAGUAGCGAAGGCGGUCGCCUGGCCCAAUACUGACGCUGAGGCUCGAAAGCUAGGGGAGCGAACAGGAUUAGAUACCCUGGUAGUCCUAGCCGUAAACGAUGAACACUAGUUGCCGGAGGAGUCAAUCUUUUCGGUGACGAAGCUAACGCAUUAAGUGUUCCGCCUGGGAAGUACGCCCGCAAGGGUGAAACUCAAAGGAAUUGACGGGGGCCCGCACAAGCGGUGGAGUAUGUGCUUUAAUUCGAUGCAACGCGAAGAACCUUACCUAGACUUGACAUGGGGGUGAAAAUCCGUAGAAAUAUGGAACCUUCCGCAAGGAACACCCUACACAGGUGCUGCAUGGUUGUCGUCAGCUCGUGUCGUGAGAUGUUGGGUUAAGUCCCGCAACGAGCGCAACCCUCGUCCUUAGUUGCUAACAGGUUAUGCUGAGAACUCUAAGGAGACUGCCUGGUUUAACCAGGAGGAAGGUGGGGAUGACGUCAAAUCCUCAUGGCCCUUACGUCUAGGGCUAGACACGUACUACAAUGGCCGGUACAACGGGCUGCAAGUCGGUGACGACAAGCUAAUCCCUUAAAACCGGUCUCAGUUCGGAUUGAAGUCUGCAAUUCGACUUCAUGAAGCUGGAAUCGCUAGUAAUCGCGGAUCAGCAUGCCGCGGUGAAUACGUUCCCGGGCCUUGUACACACCGCCCGUCAAGCCAAGAAAGAUGGCAGUACCCGAAGUCGCUUCUCUAACCGCAAGGAAGAGUGUGCCGAAGGUAAGGCUGUUGAUUGGGGCUAAGUCGGAACAAGGUAGCUGUAUCGGAAGGUGCGGCUG